Molecule: non-coding RNA, 1277 nt
Organism: Megalobrama amblycephala (Wuchang bream)
Lineage: Eukaryota; Metazoa; Chordata; Actinopteri; Cypriniformes; Xenocyprididae
Source: the annotation of a RefSeq genome assembly
CCAGGAUGUGUGUGUGUCUGACUCUGCUGUGUACUACUGUGCUCUGAAGCCCACUGUGACUCAAACACACUCAACACUCACACAAAAACAUGCAAAAUAAAUAAAAACUCUCCAACUUUGCCAAAGCAACACUAAACCGUUAGAAACAUAUUAUAAAAUCAUAUUUCAUAAAGUGAGAAUCCUAAACAAUAAAUAAUGUGCUCUUUGUGAAGUUCGACUCAAGCAGAGCAGAUCUACAGUAUUUAAAUUGUUUACAUUAUUUUUAUUUCUUCAGUUUUAACAGAGUGCAGUUCAAUAUGAUCCAGAAUGUGUUUGUGUAUUUGGUUUUUAAGCAGCACAUAUAGGUCCCCAUCACACACUCUCUGAUUUCUUUCUUUCAAGGCUCUUGUUCUUGUGUUCAAAACUGUCACUUCCAACCAAUCACCUGCAUCUGAAGCAAAGAUGAAGACACUGAAGACACACCUCUUCUGUGAGCUCUGAACUAAAGCAUUAGCAUCGGAGCACAGAGAACAUGAACAGAUCUGUAGAAACAUGGAAAAACACCUGUUUCUGAUUUUAUUUCUGACUUCAGGUGUGAUGACUGCAGACAAGAUUGGGGCAAAUAAAGAAACUAACAUUAUAAAGAAGGAAGACGAGACUGUGACCCUCAGCUGCUCAUAUGAAACAGACAGCAAUUAUGUCAGACUUUACUGGUACAGACAGUAUCCUAAUGGAGAGCCUCAGUAUUUAAUGUGGAAAGAGGCUCGUUCAUGGAGUGAUACUGGGAGCCCCUCUGAUCCUCGCUUUCAGUCGACUACAUCACGAACAUCCACUGAACUCAUUAUUAACAGUGUGACUCUGUCAGAUUCAGCUCUCUAUUAUUGUGCUCUAAGAGCUGCAGCCCAGUGAUACAAAGUCUAUGUGAAGCUGUACAAAAACUCAAAUUCAUUUUUCACUUUGAUCUCAAGCCACAUCAAACCCACAAUCUAUAAUUCACACAAUAUUAUUACACCAGUGGAAACACCUGUGUGUGGUUACAAAUGACAUUUAGUUCAAGUUAUAAAGGCAAUUGAAAGAAAAAUUGAAAGGGAUCAAAAUAACAGAGAAAUAAGAUCAUUCCACAUGACUUUAGUACGUCACAGUUUGAUAAAUGUGAUAAAAAAGAAACAUUAUCAUCUGAUAUCUCAUCUGCUUGUGUCUGCCUGAAAAAGUCUGAUCAAUCGAAUAAAUGUCAUUUUACUUCUGAUUUAAUCUGAUUAAUCGAUUCUGACUUUACUUACACUGUUGGUGAAUUAUAU